Molecule: ribosomal RNA, 253 nt
Filed under: uncultured bacterium
Lineage: Bacteria
Description: partial 16S ribosomal RNA
Rfam family: Bacterial small subunit ribosomal RNA
Source: RNAcentral
UACGAAGGGGGCUAGCGUUGCUCGGAAUUACUGGGCGUAAAGCGCACGUAGGCGGAUUGUUAAGUCGGGGGUGAAAUCCUGGAGCUCAACUCCAGAACUGCCUUCGAUACUGGCGAUCUUGAGUCCGGGAGAGGUGAGUGGAACUGCGAGUGUAGAGGUGAAAUUCGUAGAUAUUCGCAAGAACACCAGUGGCGAAGGCGGCUCACUGGCCCGGUACUGACGCUGAGGUGCGAAAGCGUGGGGAGCAAACAGG